CCCGCGCCUCCCGGCCCCUGGCAGCUCCCGGGCCCGGCGAAGCCCGCCUGCCACCCCAGCCCGGGAGCCAAGGGCAUGAGCUGGGGGUGGGGGGGGAGGAGUAAUCUCCAGGCGGCACAAUCGGGGGAAUCAAAUGUCAGACUUAGCGCUCGGGCUGGCAGGUCCCUGCUUCUCUUGCCAGCGCGCGCUAGAAAAGCCCGGUCAGCAUUGAGUGUCCGUAGCUGAAGGACUGGGGGACUAGGAGCUGCAUGCCUGAGACCGCGGCGCGUGGGUAGAAGGGACCUGGGAAGGAACCGUCGCAGCGCAGGGCAGGACUGGCCCCCCACGGCACCUCUUUGCAUGCCGGCAUUGCUUCUGGUUUUCAUGCCAGGGCUGGGCUGUUUGAGCAGAUGUUCAAAAAGUUUGGAUCAUAAUGGCCGGCGAUGCUUCGGUGUUACGGUGAUCGGUGCGUUCAUCAGAGAAUUGCUGGAGUCAGGCUGGAAGGGACCGCCAGAGGUCGUUUAGUCCUGCCCGAGGCAGGAUCAUCCCUGUUCGAACCAUCCCGUAUAGACCAUCAUCUAUCCUAGAUUCUAGACAAGAGGACCCUCAACCCUGAUGACACAGACCUAGCUUCUGAACCUACCACCCCUAAAGCAGGGGACCCACAGCAGCCAAUGCCUUGCUUGUAUAAAAGGUCAUUAAUAUAGGCAAGAGAGAUCCCAGGUAGAGCUGCACCCCCUGCUACAGAAGAAGCCCCAAGCCCCUGCAGUUCCUACCAAUCUGACCAUUCAGGAAAGGUAGACUUCCUUCGUGACCCCAAAUCUGCCCAAGCAGUCUGACCCUGAGCAGAGGGGCAAAACCUUUUAGCCAGGAACUUCUAGCUUUAAGUCCCAGCAGAAGCAAAUGCAUUAGAAAUUGAUUAACUGAAACAGCAAAGCCCAUCAUCUCAAGAGAACCUAAGGCUGGAUCUCCCCAGAUGGCGUGGCCUCACAUUGAACCUGAUGGAUAGAACUAAUUUAAUUAAAAUGGACAUUCUUUUCAGAAUCUUGAAUUUCAUGCAACUGCUCGCAACCCUUCCCACUGGUUAGUUUAAGAACUAACACGUCUGGAUGUUUCUUGUGUUCCUCUGACAAAGCAAGAAACCCAGAACCAGUCGGAGUAAAUUAUGCAAGGUUCAGGUGGGGAAUGUUCAGAAUACCUGGAUGUUCCACCCAAGGAAAUUCACAAUUGGGUGGCCCUCGGCAGGUCUAUUUGGGACUGAUUUUGAUCCGAGGUACACAUCAAUCCAGUAAGGAGUCCACUGUCCUCGUCUUAAUAUCGUAUUGGAGAAUCAGUCCACAAUAAUCUGCGGGGCAAUCUGUUCACAGGAAUAAUCAUGAAGUUCAAUACUGUUCUAUCCCACUCAAGGGAAAUUCACUUCUGCAUACAUCAAAGACCUUCUAAACCAGUGGUUUGCAACCUGUUUAGACUUGAGGCAUACCUGGAUAGACGGAAGGCACCCCUUGGAAAAUGCAACUGUUAGUCUUCACUUAUUUUUGACUACAGAAAAACUAUGGUGCAAUUCUUCUGUUACAAAACAACUCCGAAAUACCACAGCAGAGAAGAAUGUUUUUAACACUGGAUUCCUAUUUGAAAUCUCUUGGUUUAUCUUGUGCAUCGUGUUUGCACACUUAAUGUGAACAUUGCAUGGCAUGCUUGAAAGGAGCUCUCCUGCAGAAAGUAUAAGCAGCUACAAUUAUUUAGUCUUCAAAGACUCCCCCACUUAGUUUUGAAGAUUAAUCAAUCUAAAGCAGAAAUUGCCAUAUGAUAUUAUAAAUGCAGAAACACUAGGGCUCCCCUUUUCCAUUACCUGUGCUCUGGGGGAAGCGGUCUCUUGUAUCCUUAACACUUUCUCUAGCGGUAGGUAACCAAGGUGCAUACGGAGAUUUACAAGCCUCCAUUUUUAAUUCGAAUGUGAUUUAUUUUCUCAACACUACCAGACUUGGUUCACAGAUCUGAGUGUCUUCUCAAAGUGCUUACAUUCGACAUAUCCACCAAACAACAACCAUUGGCCUGAGAACCUAAGCAGAAUGGACACUGCAUCCCCAAGUGACUGUAGAAUCAUAGAGAAGUCGGGCUGGAAGGGACCUCCACAGGUCAUCUAGUGCAACCCCAUCCAAACCAUCCUAUAUAAACAAUAAUCUAAACUCUAACUAAGACUACCAUCAACCUUGACACAACGCAGACCUAACAUCCUAACCUGACACAGUUAAAACAGGGGAACCACAGCAGCCAAUGUCCUAUUUCUAUGAAAUGUCCAUAUAUGCUCAAGAGACCCUGAGUAGAGAGCACCACCCCCCGCCACUACAGAGGAAGGCAAAACCCCCUGCAGUCGGUACCAUCUGACCAUGGGGUAAAAUUCCUUCCUGACCCCAAAUAUGACCAUCGGUCUGAACUUGAGCAGAGGGGCAAGACCCUCUAGCCAGGAACCUCCAGCUCUGGUUUUAGCAGAAGCACUGGCACACCUCAGCCCAAGUCCCCAGCUUUGGCUGUAUCUGUAGCAUGCCUGCUCCAGAACCACUGGUGACCUUGUACCUUGUAUGUCACCUGUGCAGGACUGGGAAAGAAAAGAAUUGUACAGGGAUUGUUGCUUUUGUCAUAACCCAAGGGUAUGAUUUUGUGUGUGCUUCAGCACUGCAGAAUUAUUUCCCGCCACGAGGAGCUUUCUUUGCACGGUGCAAUUCUCAGUUGCAUAGAGAAAACCCCGGUGC
This is a long non-coding RNA of Alligator sinensis (Chinese alligator), 2729 nucleotides long. RefSeq lists it as uncharacterized. Lineage: Eukaryota; Metazoa; Chordata; Crocodylia; Alligatoridae. The record is from RefSeq and is a predicted model, not a curated record. The transcript is spliced from 3 exons.